Molecule: ribosomal RNA, 474 nt
Filed under: Triticum aestivum (bread wheat)
Lineage: Eukaryota; Viridiplantae; Streptophyta; Magnoliopsida; Poales; Poaceae
Description: partial small subunit ribosomal RNA
Source: RNAcentral
AUGCGCAUUGAACAGGGCGAAGGCGACAUGCAUACUCUUGGCGACGAAGGGAUGGGCGACUCAUGCGAGACAGGCGGCACAGAUACAGUCCAUAAUGCCGUGUCCCAGGAUGCAGACGAAGAUGGUGUUGGAGUGUCAAGUGCAAAACAAUCUUCUUGGACCAGGAGGGUCAGAGUUCCAAAAGCGGCGGAUGAGAGAGAGCCCAUCCCAUCAAGGAUGCCUGCCCUUGAAGCUUCUAUCCGUGCAUUUGUCAACAAAAAGUCCAAAAAUGUUAUCAAUCCGUCUAUUGGAACUAGUUUCGAUUCAGUCGAAGAGGGCUACGAGUUUUACAAUCUUUAUUCAUGGGAGGUUGGUUUUGGUGUGCGCUAUGCAAAAAGCCGUUUGAAUGUACACCGGAAGAAGUGCAUGCAGGAGAUAGUUUGCGCUUGUGCGGGUAAACCGUUGCAAGCCAACAGCCGGUCAACGAGGUGUUGA